This 465-nucleotide ribosomal RNA is filed under the name Vreelandella stevensii. RNAcentral's name for it is "partial 16S ribosomal RNA". It matches the Rfam family "Bacterial small subunit ribosomal RNA", at positions 338 to 795 of the family's 1533-position model. The record is from RNAcentral. Lineage: Bacteria; Pseudomonadati; Pseudomonadota; Gammaproteobacteria; Oceanospirillales; Halomonadaceae.
CCUACGGGAGGCUGCAGUGGGGAAUAUUGGACAAUGGGCGAAAGCCUGAUCCAGCCAUGCCGCGUGUGUGAAGAAGGCCUUCGGGUUGUAAAGCACUUUCAGUGGGGAAGAAAGCCUUGGGGCUAAUACCCUCGAGGAAGGACAUCACCCACAGAAGAAGCACCGGCUAACUCCGUGCCAGCAGCCGCGGUAAUACGGAGGGUGCGAGCGUUAAUCGGAAUUACUGGGCGUAAAGCGCGCGUAGGCGGUCUGAUAAGCCGGUUGUGAAAGCCCCGGGCUCAACCUGGGAACGGCAUCCGGAACUGUCAGGCUAGAGUGCAGGAGAGGAAGGUAGAAUUCCCGGUGUAGCGGUGAAAUGCGUAGAGAUCGGGAGGAAUACCAGUGGCGAAGGCGGCCUUCUGGACUGACACUGACGCUGAGAUGCGAAAGCGUGGGUAGCAAACAGGAUUAGAUACCCCGGUAGUC